UGGAGAGUUUGAUCCUGGCUCAGGACGAACGCUGGCGGCGUGCCUAAUACAUGCAAGUCGAGCGGACUUUAGAAAAGCUUGCUUUUCUAAAGUUAGCGGCGGACGGGUGAGUAACACGUGGGCAACCUGCCCUAUAGUUGGGGAUAACUCCGGGAAACCGGGGCUAAUACCGAAUAAUACAUUCCUUCUCCUGUUGGAAUGUUGAAAGAUGGUUUACGCUAUCGCUAUAGGAUGGGCCCGCGGCGCAUUAGCUAGUUGGUGAGGUAACGGCUCACCAAGGCGACGAUGCGUAGCCGACCUGAGAGGGUGAUCGGCCACACUGGGACUGAGACACGGCCCAGACUCCUACGGGAGGCAGCAGUAGGGAAUCUUCCACAAUGGGCGAAAGCCUGAUGGAGCAACGCCGCGUGAGUGAAGAAGGUUUUCGGAUCGUAAAACUCUGUUGUAAGGGAAGAACAAGUACAGUAGUAACUGGCUGUACCUUGACGGUACCUUAUUAGAAAGCCACGGCUAACUACGUGCCAGCAGCCGCGGUA
This 536-nucleotide ribosomal RNA is filed under the name Bacillaceae bacterium C20. RNAcentral's name for it is "bacterial SSU rRNA". It matches the Rfam family "Bacterial small subunit ribosomal RNA", at positions 1 to 522 of the family's 1533-position model. The record is from RNAcentral. Lineage: Bacteria; Bacillati; Bacillota; Bacilli; Caryophanales; Bacillaceae.